UCUACGGGAGGCAGCAGUGGGGAAUCUUCCACAAUGGACGCAAGUCUGAUGGAGCAACGCCGCGUGAGUGAAGAAGGUUUUCGGAUCGUAAAGCUCUGUUGUUGGUGAAGAAAGAUAGUGAGAGUAACUGCUCAUUAUUUGCCGGUAAUCAACCAGAAAGUCACGGCUAACUACGUGCCAGCAGCCGCGGUAAUA
RNAcentral lists this ribosomal RNA (195 nucleotides) under uncultured bacterium. RNAcentral describes it as "partial 16S ribosomal RNA". It matches the Rfam family "Bacterial small subunit ribosomal RNA", at positions 338 to 525 of the family's 1533-position model. The record is from RNAcentral. RNAcentral also lists the same sequence under 1 other name.